This 92-nucleotide transfer RNA is filed under the name Clostridia bacterium. Its description in RNAcentral is "tRNA-OTHER". It matches the Rfam family "tRNA". Rfam says of the family: Transfer RNA (tRNA) molecules are approximately 80 nucleotides in length. Their secondary structure includes four short double-helical elements and three loops (D, anti-codon, and T loops). Lineage: Bacteria; Bacillati; Bacillota; Clostridia. The record is from RNAcentral.
GCCGUCAUAGCUCAAAGGCAGAGCAUGGGUGUAUGAAGGGCCGUGUCCCUGAAUGCACCCCACUGAUGCCGGUUCGAUUCCGGCUGGCGGUA